AGGGCGGGGGGGCCCCGUCGCCGUCCCGCAGACCGGAGCGCACCUCUGCCCGCGGGCCCGGCCGUCCUCGCUGCGGAUCAUCCCGUCUCUCUCUCGUGUCUCUCGUCCUUGUGCCGAGCUAUGUGUUUAUCUCGGCGCGUCUCGCAAGGAAGGAGGUUGUGGUGGGGCUGGCUGUGGAGCAGAGAGAGGGGCAGAAAAAAACCAGGCUGGAAGGAAACCGCUUGGUUUGGCAUCCCCUGCCUUGAGAAACACGCCAUUUGGGACCUAUCCUGCUGGACUCUGCGCUGGGGGAGAGAGAUCCUUGCUUUUUUAAUUUUUUGUCUUUAAAAAAAAAAACACCUGCUCUCCUCCGCACCUGUCUUCUGCAUGGUUUUAGUUCCCCUGCUGCCUUCCUGAUUUUUUUUUUUUUUUUAAAUAUUUUUUCCUUUUUGAAUUAUCUGAGGAGAUGAAACCGGAUUUCUAAACUUCUCCUCCGACUGUUGCGAAUGCUAUAGAGCAGUUUUGUCUGGAACCACCCGCUUCUUCCCCAAGACGGGCUCAUUUUGAGGAAUGCUUCCCAACUACUUGGGGUCCAUGAAUCCUCAGGCUGCUCUAGAGCUUAGUAUCCAGUUGAGGUUUCAACAUGUGGACUCCAAACUCUUUGGCCACAGAAGUGUCUAUGAAUUAUUAUUUCAAAGAAAGUAAUGAAAAGCUGCAAAGAACACCAAAUCUGGACUAAACUCCCAUAAAGCAUUUUUAUAUCCUUGGCUGUGUUGUAAGAGAAUUUUUGUAGAGCAACCACGGUUACUAUUAUAAUCCAGUGAGCUGCCUAAGUCAUGCUUUUUCACAGGCCCUCUUUACACACAUUAUGACUUCAUGAUUUGUUAUCACUUCAAAGAUGGUUUCUAACUCUUAUUUUAGUAUUUUUGCUGUGCUUUAAGUUUCCUGGAAACAGGGUUACAAGACAUGUUGUGUUAUUACUGAUGUGUGUUUCUUGGUCAUUUAAAAAGAUGAGGACUGAAGGCGCAUGUGUUAGGAGUUCUGUCCUGUUUUGUCAAAAACAUAUCACUAACUGCUGAUAUACUUGGUUGGGUUGUAGGAAUCUUAUUGCAUUUGGAUCCUUUUGUGGUUUUUGUCAUGACUUGUUUAUGGAGAUACUUUAACGCAAAUUAAAAUUUCUUGAGCAAUGUAUAGAUAUUAAGACAGUUUUUCAAGUUAAGAUAGUGAAAUAUUGUUGUGUUUUUCCCACUGGGUGUAAAUUGGUGUAAAGUUAUUUGGCAUAUAACCUUGCUGUCUGAAGACGUGGCCAGGCUAGGCCCUUAGUUUUUUUUU
Molecule: long non-coding RNA, 1311 nt
Organism: Gavialis gangeticus (Gharial)
Lineage: Eukaryota; Metazoa; Chordata; Crocodylia; Gavialidae
Exons: 2
Source: RefSeq, a predicted model, not a curated record